AGAGGAUGGCCAGCCACACUGGAACUGAGACACGGUCCAGACUCCUACGGGAGGCAGCAGUGGGGAAUAUUGGACAAUGGGGGCAACCCUGAUCCAGCAAUGCCGCGUGUGUGAAGAAGGCCUGAGGGUUGUAAAGCACUUUCAGUGGGGAGGAGGAUUGUUUGGUUAAGAGCUGAAUAAUUGGACGUUACCCACAGAAGAAGCACCGGCUAACUCCGUGCCAGCAGCCGCGGUAAUACGGAGGGUGCGAGCGUUAAUCGGAAUUACUGGGCGUAAAGGGUGCGUAGGUGGUUUGAUAAGUUAUCUGUGAAAGCCCUGGGCUCAACCUGGGAAGGCCAGAUAAGACUGUUAGACUUGAGUAUGGGAGAGGGUAGUGGAAUUUCCGGUGUAGCGGUGAAAUGCGUAGAGAUCGGAAGGAACACCAGUGGCGAAGGCGGCUACCUGGCCUAAUACUGACACUGAAGCACGAAAGCGUGGGGAGCAAACAGGAUUAGAUACCCUGGUAGUCCACGCCGUAAACGAUGUCAACUAGCUGUUGGUCAUAUGAAUGUGAUUAGU
Molecule: ribosomal RNA, 558 nt
Filed under: uncultured Legionella sp.
Lineage: Bacteria; Pseudomonadati; Pseudomonadota; Gammaproteobacteria; Legionellales; Legionellaceae
Description: bacterial SSU rRNA
Rfam family: Bacterial small subunit ribosomal RNA
Source: RNAcentral